RNAcentral lists this unclassified non-coding RNA (253 nucleotides) under uncultured Acidobacteriota bacterium. RNAcentral describes it as "uncultured Acidobacteria bacterium contains 16S-23S intergenic spacer region". It matches the Rfam family "Bacterial small subunit ribosomal RNA", at positions 524 to 776 of the family's 1533-position model. Lineage: Bacteria; Pseudomonadati; Acidobacteriota. The record is from RNAcentral.
UACGGGGGGGGCGAGCGUUGUUCGGAAUUACUGGGCGUAAAGGGCUCGUAGGUGGCCGACUAAGUCAGACGUGAAAUCCCUUGGCUCAACCGAGGAAUCGCGUCUGAUACUGAUCGGCUUGAAUCCGGGAGAGGGAUGCGGAAUUCCAGGUGUAGCGGUGAAAUGCGUAGAUAUCUGGAGGAACACCGGUGGCGAAGGCGGCAUCCUGGACCGGUAUUGACACUGAGGAGCGAAAGCCAGGGGAGCAAACGGG